GACGAACGCUGGCGGCGUGCUUAACACAUGCAAGUCGAACGGAAAGGCCCUGCUUGCAGGGUACUCGAGUGGCGAACGGGUGAGUAACACGUGGGUGAUCUGCCCUGCACUUCGGGAUAAGCCUGGGAAACUGGGUCUAAUACCGGAUAGGAGCCAUUUUUAGUGUGAUGGUUGGAAAGUUUUUUCGGUGUAGGAUGAGCUCGCGGCCUAUCAGCUUGUUGGUGGGGUAAUGGCCUACCAAGGCGGCGACGGGUAACCGGCCUGAGAGGGUGGACGGCCACAUUGGGACUGAGAUACGGCCCAGACUCCUACGGGAGGCAGCAGUGGGGAAUAUUGCACAAUGGGCGCAAGCCUGAUGCAGCGACGCCGCGUGGGGGAUGACGGCCUUCGGGUUGUAAACUCCUUUCGCUAGGGACGAAGCUUUUUGUGACGGUACCUAGAUAAGAAGCACCGGCUAACUACGUG
This 465-nucleotide ribosomal RNA is filed under the name uncultured bacterium. RNAcentral's name for it is "partial 16S ribosomal RNA". It matches the Rfam family "Bacterial small subunit ribosomal RNA", at positions 28 to 507 of the family's 1533-position model. The record is from RNAcentral.